This is a small nuclear RNA of Fukomys damarensis (Damara mole-rat), 101 nucleotides long. The record is from Ensembl. NCBI's taxonomy places the organism in Eukaryota, Metazoa, Chordata, Mammalia, Rodentia, Bathyergidae.
GUGCUCGCUUCGGCAGCACAUAUACUAAAAUUGGAAUGAUACAGAGAAGAUCAGCAUGACCCCUUGCAAGAAUGCAAUUUCUUGAAGCAUUCCAUAUAAGA